RNAcentral lists this ribosomal RNA (254 nucleotides) under uncultured bacterium. RNAcentral's name for it is "partial 16S ribosomal RNA". It matches the Rfam family "Bacterial small subunit ribosomal RNA", at positions 524 to 776 of the family's 1533-position model. The record is from RNAcentral.
CACGUAGGGUGCGAGCGUUGUCCGGAAUUAUUGGGCGUAAAGAGCUCGUAGGCGGUGUGUCGCGUCGGCCGUGAAAACCUGCAGCUUAACUGUGGGCUUGCGGUCGAUACGGGCAUCACUGGAGUUCGGCAGGGGAGACUGGAAUUCCUGGUGUAGCAGUGAAAUGCGUAGAUAUCAGGAGGAAUACCGAUGGCGAAGGCAGGUCUCUGGGCUGACACUGACGCUCAUGCACGAAAGCGUGGGGAGCAAACAGG